CUAUCGUACCCUUCGGGCUUCUCCAAUAAUGAGCUCCUUCAGUCAUUUAUCGAACUGCUCUAAAUACUCUCUGGGCUUCACUAUUAGUCGAUUUUCUACAGUUUUUGACUACUCUCCGAAUCUCUUCCAGACUUCCUCCUGUCACGAUCGACUUUACUCCGAGCUUCUUCCGGACUUCGUCAAUGUCCGGACUUCUCCAGCGGCAGGACUUCUACAAUAAGCAGUCUCCAUCCGAGCUUCUACGGCAACUGAUCUCCAUCUGAGCUUCUACAGUAAGCGAAGUCCAUCCGAGCUUCUACAGUAAGUGAAUUCCAUCUGAGCUUCUACAAUAAGCGAUCUCCAUCCGGACUUCCACGACAACCAGUCUCCAUCCGAG
Molecule: long non-coding RNA, 376 nt
Filed under: Elaeis guineensis (African oil palm)
Lineage: Eukaryota; Viridiplantae; Streptophyta; Magnoliopsida; Arecales; Arecaceae
Description: long non-coding RNA (EGUI_LNC053863)
Source: RNAcentral